This is a long non-coding RNA of Daphnia carinata, 1604 nucleotides long. RefSeq lists it as uncharacterized. Lineage: Eukaryota; Metazoa; Arthropoda; Branchiopoda; Diplostraca; Daphniidae. The transcript has 10 exons. The record is from RefSeq and is a predicted model, not a curated record.
UCGGAUUUAACCGGAAUGAUCAACGUUCAACGUUCGAACUUGAUAGGCAACAUUUGCAGAUUUCCACAACUGCAUAACGCUGAGAUGUGAUGGCGUCAAGAUACAGGUCGACGAAUUAUGACAUUUUCUUUUUCAUAAACUUUGAUUGUUCCCGAUAAGUUGUCAGAUGAGUUUCCUGGUAAGCAGUACGUUAGCAGAGACCACCAUUACCCCACCGUACUCUUUCACUAUGUCCUGCACGGCGUGCGCGAAACCAAGUAAAUCGAGGGAAUAAUCCAUAGCAUUGGCAAUGGGGAAGAUGAUACCAAUUGAUCCGCCAAAUUCAGGACCAAGUACUCUAGACCUGUGGUGUUGCAGGAACGUUUAAGCUGUUGCUUUCCAAGGGCAGUUUGGGAAAUGGCGUCUAAUCUGAUAUAAUUAGAUGACAAAAUGCUGGAUUAUUUGUCAAAUUCCGCACACAGCUGGGAAAUUCUACCAAACCAGUCCAUGUUUGGACGAUGACGUAACAACGCUGGAUUAGGAAUCCGGAUGUGACACCAGUAUUUCCAGUUCGGAUUUACGUGGUGCUAUAAUAGAAGCAGGUGGAAGCGUUUAAUUUCUAUACGAAGCGGAUCCCUGUUUUUUGCUGCAGGACUUGUGAUGUAAAUCAGCGGUACACUUCGACGCGAUUUGGUCGAAAUGAAAAGAUGUAGAACGUCUUUUCCAGUUAUGAAGAAGAAUACGCGAAUCUGCUGUGUAACGACAGUCAAUAUUAUAAGCGCAGAGCUUUUUUCACAUGAACAUUUUUGAGAAUAAUAUGUCAAAACGGAUGUUUGAUUCCUUCGAACGAGGACGAAUGGUGGCAUAUUUGCUGUGAGUGCCUCCAACCAAGCCAUGUAUAGUGGGGCACUGAAGGCUCCUUUUCGAGUUACGGGUUUCCAGAGAGUGCAAAAUUCCCGGACAUAGAAAUGUUACAUAACCAAACGAAAUAUCUGUCAAAUUGGGCACACAGCUGUGAAAUUUUACCAAACCAGUCGAUGUACGGACGAUGACGUAACGGCGCUGGAUUCGGAAUCCGGAUGGGACAUCAGGAUUUCCAGUUUCGAUUAACAUGGCGAUAUGUCAGCAGGUGGAAAUGUUAAAUUUCUAUACGAAGCGGAUCCCUAUUUUUUGCUGCAGGACUUGUGAUAUAAACCAGCGGUACGCAUCGCCGCGAUUGGAUCGAAAUGAUAAGAUUUACGAUUAUUAGAUGUGGUACAACUCCCUUCGUCUCCCUCUCUCGCAUCGAUCUGAUUUAAAAUCAGAAGUGAAUGACCUGACAACAUUUUCGCCGUGUGCCAAAACACCUUUCGAGGUUUUACCAUUUAACGGAGCGACGACAAUCAUCACCAUUUUCAUCACCUCUGAUGGCCGCCAUCUUUUUUGGUUGAUUGGCUAAAACAACAACAAAGUUUCCCUAUUUGGUUUUUAUAUUUCUUGAAAUAAGAAUUGAGUUUGGAUUGUGAAAGGAAGGCUCAAAGAAGGAUAUUCAUGUGCUGCCCUCUAGUGGGAAAUGGGGGAAUUGCCUGCCUGUUAUUUGUUUUGUCGCCAUUUUGAUCUCGCUGAAAUGAAGGGAAAAACAAAAA